This 381-nucleotide long non-coding RNA is filed under the name Homo sapiens (human). RNAcentral describes it as "non-protein coding lnc-DBP-1:1". The record is from RNAcentral. Lineage: Eukaryota; Metazoa; Chordata; Mammalia; Primates; Hominidae.
UGCUCCCAGGGGCGGGGUUUCCUGCGUGACGUCACCAAGACCAUUCACUAUUCACUCCCAGUUUCCCACCCUCCUUCCACUGCAGAUGCACUCCCUGAGACUCCUGAGCCAGAAUCCUCCAUCUCAGAUCUUCCAGAGCCUCAGCGGUAACAGCCGGCCCCUGCAGCCCUUGGCCCACAGGGCACUGAGGGGCAACAGGGACCCCCGGCACCCCGAGAGGCGCUGCCGAGGCCCCAACUACCGCCUGCAUGUGGAUGGUGUCCCCCAUGGUCGCUGAGACUCCCCUUCGAGGAUUGCACCCGCCCGUCCUAAGCCUCCCCACAAGGCGAGGGGAGUUACCCCUAAAACAAAGCUAUUAAAGGGACAGAAUACUUCCUGUUU